Molecule: ribosomal RNA, 450 nt
Filed under: uncultured bacterium
Lineage: Bacteria
Description: bacterial SSU rRNA
Rfam family: Bacterial small subunit ribosomal RNA
Source: RNAcentral
AACGAACGCUGGCGGCAUGCCUAACACAUGCAAGUCGAACGAGACCUUCGGGUCUAGUGGCGCACGGGUGCGUAACGCGUGGGAAUCUGCCCUUGGGUUCGGAAUAACAGUUAGAAAUGACUGCUAAUACCGGAUGAUGUCUUCGGACCAAAGAUUUAUCGCCCAAGGAUGAGCCCGCGUAAGAUUAGCUAGUUGGUGAGGUAAUGGCUCACCAAGGCGACGAUCUUUAGCUGGUCUGAGAGGAUGAUCAGCCACACUGGGACUGAGACACGGCCCAGACUCCUACGGGAGGCAGCAGUGGGGAAUAUUGGACAAUGGGCGAAAGCCUGAUCCAGCAAUGCCGCGUGAGUGAUGAAGGCCUUAGGGUUGUAAAGCUCUUUUACCAGGGAUGAUAAUGACAGUACCUGGAGAAUAAGCUCCGGCUAACUCCGUGCCAGCAGCCGCCGUAAC